GCGGGUGUCGUAUAACGGCUAUUAUGCAACCUUGCCAAGGUUGAGAAGAGGGUUCAACUCCCUUCACCCGCUCCA
RNAcentral lists this transfer RNA (75 nucleotides) under Candidatus Nealsonbacteria bacterium RBG_13_38_11. Its description in RNAcentral is "tRNA-Gly". It matches the Rfam family "tRNA". From Rfam's summary of the family: Transfer RNA (tRNA) molecules are approximately 80 nucleotides in length. Their secondary structure includes four short double-helical elements and three loops (D, anti-codon, and T loops). RNAcentral also lists the same sequence under 1 other name. The record is from RNAcentral. Lineage: Bacteria; Candidatus Nealsoniibacteriota.